UAGAGUGGCGUACGGGUGAGUAACACGUGACUAACCUUCCUUCGAGUGGGGAAUAACCUCGGGAAACCAGGGCUAAUACCGCAUAACAUCUCCGGGUGAAACUCCCAUUGAUCAAAGGGGUAAGGCGCUUGAAGAGGGGGUCGCGGCUGAUUAGUUAGUUGGCGGGGUAAUGGCCCACCAAGACGAUGAUCAGUAUCCGGCCUGAGAGGGCGCACGGACACAUUGGGACUGAAACACGGCCCAA
This 244-nucleotide ribosomal RNA is filed under the name uncultured bacterium. RNAcentral's name for it is "partial 16S ribosomal RNA". It matches the Rfam family "Bacterial small subunit ribosomal RNA", at positions 91 to 334 of the family's 1533-position model. The record is from RNAcentral.